Bombyx mori (domestic silkworm) is the source of this 551-nucleotide long non-coding RNA. RefSeq lists it as uncharacterized. The transcript is spliced from 2 exons. Lineage: Eukaryota; Metazoa; Arthropoda; Insecta; Lepidoptera; Bombycidae. The record is from RefSeq and is a predicted model, not a curated record.
AUGUAUUGAAUGAAACAUGGCAACCCUAUCAACAUUUUAAGGCGAGUAUCGAACGCUGUAUCAUGGUGUUCACGGUGCAGAGUGGUGCUGAUAUUUUAUGAUAAAGCCGGCCACUUAUCAUAGCACUCUAAUAAUGCUAAUAGUAAAGAUAAGUAGGAUAAAAAAAAAGAAAAUCAGACUAGCUGUGGAUGAAAAUGAACUACAGAAUUACAUAGAUAAUGGAAAAAAGAAAAUACUCAACAUCUCUCGGAAAAUAAUGUCAUUAUGUAGAUCAAAAGGCCGUUGUCUCAACGUCAGGAUGUUCAUCAAAUUUGAACACUUGGAUGUACAGAUUCCUUACGUAUUUUGGACAUCUGUUUUUUUAUUGACAGGUCCACUGUCCACAACGUGCGUCCACAGCAUGUGAACCUUGAAGUUAAAAUACCACACCUAAUACUACACCUAGUACUACAUUCUUAUAAAAAAAUAUUAGGACCGCAAAAACGUUAUCUAAUUUAAAUCUCAUACAGUGGACUAGUAAACUAGUAGUAAUAAAAAAAAACAUGAUAUAA